AAAAACAGCCUUUUCUCCAAAAGGGGAGAAAGUUGAAACUGAGUGGUCCACGAUGGGAAGAGGGGAAGCCCAGGGGUACAGGAGGCCUCUGGGUGAAGGCAGAGGCUAACAUGGGGUUCGGAGCGACCUUGGCCGUUGGCCUGACCAUCUUUGUGCUGUCUGUCAUCACUGUCAUCAUCUGCUUCACCUGCUCCUGCUGCUGCCUGUACAUGACGUGCCGCCAACCACGUCCGGUUUUCACCACCACCACAUCCACCACUGUGGUGCAUGCCCCUUAUCCUCAGCCUCCAAAUGUGCCGCCCAGCUACCCUGGACCAAGCUACCAGGGGUACCACACCAUGCCACCUCAGCCAGGGAUGCCAGCAGCACCCUACCCAACGCAGUAACCACCUUACCUGGCCCAGCCCAUGGGCCCGCCGGCCUACCACAAGACCCCGGCUGGAGGAGCAGCCGCACCCUACCCCGCCAGCCAGCCUCCUUACAACCCGGCCUACAUGGAUGCCCUGAAGAUGGUCCUCUGAGCGUCCCCCGACCUCUCUGGCUGCCACUUGGUUAUGUUGUGUGUGUGUGAGUGGUGUGCAGGCACGGUUCCUUGCGGCCCAUGCGUGCUGUGUGUGUCCUGCCUGUAUAUGUGGCUUCCUCUGAUGCUGACGAGGUGGGGAACGAUCCUUGCCAGAGUGGGCUGGGACCAGACUUUGUUUUCUUCCUCACCUGAAAUUACGCUUCCUAAAAUCUCAAGCCAAACUCAAAGAAUGGGGUGGUGAGGGCACCCUGUGAGGUGGCCCCUGAGAGGUAGGGGGCUCUCCAAGGCACAUCUGGAGUUCUUCUCCAGCUUACCCUAGGGUGACCAAGUAUGGCCCGUCACACCAGAAUGGCGCAGCUUUCUGUAUGAUGCAGAUGUGUUCUGGUUUCUGCAGCGUAGCCAGCUGCUGCUCGACG
This is a non-coding RNA of Chlorocebus sabaeus (green monkey), 939 nucleotides long. The record is from RefSeq and is a predicted model, not a curated record. NCBI's taxonomy places the organism in Eukaryota, Metazoa, Chordata, Mammalia, Primates, Cercopithecidae.